RNAcentral lists this ribosomal RNA (319 nucleotides) under uncultured eukaryote. RNAcentral describes it as "partial 18S ribosomal RNA". It matches the Rfam family "Eukaryotic small subunit ribosomal RNA", at positions 1470 to 1796 of the family's 1831-position model. The record is from RNAcentral.
CCCUUAGAUGUUCUGGGCGGCACGCGCGCUACAAUGGUCUUCGCAAACGGAUGCAUUCUCGAAGGAGAAUGCCAAUCUUGGAAUCUAUGCCUUGGUCGGGACAGUUGCUUGCAAUUUUUCGACUCGAACCAGGAAUUCCUUGUAAUCGUGAUUCAUCACAUCACGAUGAAUACGUCCCUGCCCUUUGUACACACCGCCCGUCACUCCUACCGAUCGAAGAGUUAGGUGAAUUGUUUUGAUCGAUAAGAUUUGACUAUGGUCAACUCUCGUUGUGAAAUUCUGUGAAUCUGACUGUUUAGAGGAAGGAAAAGUCGUAACA